UUGACGUUGGAUUACCAACGAGUGGCGGACGGGUGAGUAACACGUAGGCAACCUGCCCAGAAGCGGGGGACAACAUUUGGAAACAAGUGCUAAUACCGCAUAAAUCCUCAAACCGCAUGGUUUGAGGCUGAAAGAUGGUUUCGGCUAUCACUUCUGGAUGGGCCUGCGGCGCAUUAGCUUGUUGGUGGGGUAACGGCCUACCAAGGCUAUGAUGCGUAGCCGAGUUGAGAGACUGAUCGGCCACAAUGGAACUGAGACACGGUCCAUACUCC
RNAcentral lists this ribosomal RNA (272 nucleotides) under uncultured Lactobacillus sp. RNAcentral's name for it is "partial 16S ribosomal RNA". It matches the Rfam family "Bacterial small subunit ribosomal RNA", at positions 68 to 339 of the family's 1533-position model. Lineage: Bacteria; Bacillati; Bacillota; Bacilli; Lactobacillales; Lactobacillaceae. The record is from RNAcentral.